Molecule: ribosomal RNA, 290 nt
Filed under: uncultured bacterium
Lineage: Bacteria
Description: partial 16S ribosomal RNA
Rfam family: Bacterial small subunit ribosomal RNA
Source: RNAcentral
CUAUCCCUACGGGGGGCAGCAGUCGAGAAUCAUUCACAAUGGGGGAAACCCUGAUGUUGCGACGCCGCGUGGGGGAAUGAAGGUCUUCGGAUUGUAAAUCCCUGUCAUGUGGGAGCAAAUUAAAAAGAUAGUACCACAAGAGGAAGAGACGGCUAACUCUGUGCCAGCAGCCGCGGUAAUACAGAGGUCUCAAGCGUUGUUCGGGAUCACUGGGCGUAAAGCGUGCGUAGGCUGUUUCGUAAGUCGUGUGUGAAAGGCGCGGGCUCAACCCGCGGACGGCACCUGAUACU